This 690-nucleotide ribosomal RNA is filed under the name uncultured bacterium. RNAcentral describes it as "bacterial SSU rRNA". It matches the Rfam family "Bacterial small subunit ribosomal RNA", at positions 645 to 1334 of the family's 1533-position model. The record is from RNAcentral.
AGGGUGACAGAGGCCGGUAGAAUUCGUGGUGUAGCGGUGAAAUGCAUAGAUAUCACGAAGAAUACCCAUGGCGAAGGCAGCCGGCUGGGUCAUCACUGACGCUGAGGCACGAGAGCGUGGGGAGCAAACAGGAUUAGAUACCCUGGUAGUCCACGCCGUAAACGUUGUAUGCUAGGUGUCGGUCCGCUUUCGGGUGGAUCGGUGCUGCAGUUCACACAUUAAGCAUACCACCUGGGGAGUACGCCGGCAACGGUGAAACUCAAAGGAAUUGACGGGGGCCCGCACAAGCGGUGGAGCAUGUGGCUUAAUUCGAUGCAACGCGAAGAACCUUACCCGGGCUAAAUCAUGCGCGACGUAUCCGGAAACGGGUAUUCCCUUCGGGGCGCGUAUGAAGGUGCUGCAUGGCUGUCGUCAGCUCGUGCCGUGAGGUGUUGGGUUAAGUCUUGCAACGAGCGCAACCCCUAUGGUCAGUUACCAGCGCGUUAUGGCGGGGACUCUGGCUAGACUGCCUGUGCAAACAGUGAGGAAGGUGGGGACGACGUCAAGUCAUCAUGGCCCUUACGUCCGGGGCUGCACACGUGCUACAAUGGGCGGUACAGAGGGCAGCUACUGCGCGAGCAGAUGCCAAUCUCAAAAACCGUCCUCAGUUCGGAUCGGAGUCUGCAACUCGACUCCGUGAAGGUGGAAUCG